UUAAGCGACUAAGCGUACACGGUGGAUGCCCUGGCAGUCAGAGGCGAUGAAGGACGUGCUAAUCUGCGAUAAGCGUCGGUAAGGUGAUAUGAACCGUUAUAACCGGCGAUUUCCGAAUGGGGAAACCCAGUGUGUUUCGACACACUAUCAUUAACUGAAUCCAUAGGUUAAUGAGGCGAACCGGGGGAACUGAAACAUCUAAGUACCCCGAGGAAAAGAAAUCAACCGAGAUUCCCCCAGUAGCGGCGAGCGAACGGGGAGCAGCCCAGAGCCUGAAUCAGUGUGUGUGUUAGUGGAAGCGUCUGGAAAGGCGCGCGAUACAGGGUGACAGCCCCGUACACAAAAAUGCACAUGCUGUGAGCUCGAUGAGUAGGGCGGGACACGUGGUAUCCUGUCUGAAUAUGGGGGGACCAUCCUCCAAGGCUAAAUACUCCUGACUGACCGAUAGUGAACCAGUACCGUGAGGGAAAGGCGAAAAGAACCCCGGCGAGGGGAGUGAAAAAGAACCUGAAACCGUGUACGUACAAGCAGUGGGAGCACGCUUAGGCGUGUGACUGCGUACCUUUUGUAUAAUGGGUCAGCGACUUAUAUUCUGUAGCAAGGUUAACCGAAUAGGGGAGCCGAAGGGAAACCGAGUCUUAACUGGGCGUUAAGUUGCAGGGUAUAGACCCGAAACCCGGUGAUCUAGCCAUGGGCAGGUUGAAGGUUGGGUAACACUAACUGGAGGACCGAACCGACUAAUGUUGAAAAAUUAGCGGAUGACUUGUGGCUGGGGGUGAAAGGCCAAUCAAACCGGGAGAUAGCUGGUUCUCCCCGAAAGCUAUUUAGGUAGCGCCUCGUGAAUUCAUCUCCGGGGGUAGAGCACUGUUUCGGCAAGGGGGUCAUCCCGACUUACCAACCCGAUGCAAACUGCGAAUACCGGAGAAUGUUAUCACGGGAGACACACGGCGGGUGCUAACGUCCGUCGUGGAGAGGGAAACAACCCAGACCGCCAGCUAAGGUCCCAAAGUCAUGGUUAAGUGGGAAACGAUGUGGGAAGGCCCAGACAGCCAGGAUGUUGGCUUAGAAGCAGCCAUCAUUUAAAGAAAGCGUAAUAGCUCACUGGUCGAGUCGGCCUGCGCGGAAGAUGUAACGGGGCUAAACCAUGCACCGAAGCUGCGGCAGCGACGCUUAUGCGUUGUUGGGUAGGGGAGCGUUCUGUAAGCCUGCGAAGGUGUGCUGUGAGGCAUGCUGGAGGUAUCAGAAGUGCGAAUGCUGACAUAAGUAACGAUAAAGCGGGUGAAAAGCCCGCUCGCCGGAAGACCAAGGGUUCCUGUCCAACGUUAAUCGGGGCAGGGUGAGUCGACCCCUAAGGCGAGGCCGAAAGGCGUAGUCGAUGGGAAACAGGUUAAUAUUCCUGUACUUGGUGUUACUGCGAAGGGGGGACGGAGAAGGCUAUGUUGGCCGGGCGACGGUUGUCCCGGUUUAAGCGUGUAGGCUGGUUUUCCAGGCAAAUCCGGAAAAUCAAGGCUGAGGCGUGAUGACGAGGCACUACGGUGCUGAAGCAACAAAUGCCCUGCUUCCAGGAAAAGCCUCUAAGCAUCAGGUAACAUCAAAUCGUACCCCAAACCGACACAGGUGGUCAGGUAGAGAAUACCAAGGCGCUUGAGAGAACUCGGGUGAAGGAACUAGGCAAAAUGGUGCCGUAACUUCGGGAGAAGGCACGCUGAUAUGUAGGUGAGGUCCCUCGCGGAUGGAGCUGAAAUCAGUCGAAGAUACCAGCUGGCUGCAACUGUUUAUUAAAAACACAGCACUGUGCAAACACGAAAGUGGACGUAUACGGUGUGACGCCUGCCCGGUGCCGGAAGGUUAAUUGAUGGGGUCAGCGCAAGCGAAGCUCUUGAUCGAAGCCCCGGUAAACGGCGGCCGUAACUAUAACGGUCCUAAGGUAGCGAAAUUCCUUGUCGGGUAAGUUCCGACCUGCACGAAUGGCGUAAUGAUGGCCAGGCUGUCUCCACCCGAGACUCAGUGAAAUUGAACUCGCUGUGAAGAUGCAGUGUACCCGCGGCAAGACGGAAAGACCCCGUGAACCUUUACUAUAGCUUGACACUGAACAUUGAGCCUUGAUGUGUAGGAUAGGUGGGAGGCUUUGAAGUGUGGACGCCAGUCUGCAUGGAGCCGACCUUGAAAUACCACCCUUUAAUGUUUGAUGUUCUAACGUGGACCCGUAAUCCGGGUUGCGGACAGUGUCUGGUGGGUAGUUUGACUGGGGCGGUCUCCUCCUAAAGAGUAACGGAGGAGCACGAAGGUUGGCUAAUCCUGGUCGGACAUCAGGAGGUUAGUGCAAUGGCAUAAGCCAGCUUGACUGCGAGCGUGACGGCGCGAGCAGGUGCGAAAGCAGGUCAUAGUGAUCCGGUGGUUCUGAAUGGAAGGGCCAUCGCUCAACGGAUAAAAGGUACUCCGGGGAUAACAGGCUGAUACCGCCCAAGAGUUCAUAUCGACGGCGGUGUUUGGCACCUCGAUGUCGGCUCAUCACAUCCUGGGGCUGAAGUAGGUCCCAAGGGUAUGGCUGUUCGCCAUUUAAAGUGGUACGCGAGCUGGGUUUAGAACGUCGUGAGACAGUUCGGUCCCUAUCUGCCGUGGGCGCUGGAGAACUGAGGGGGGCUGCUCCUAGUACGAGAGGACCGGAGUGGACGCAUCACUGGUGUUCGGGUUGUCAUGCCAAUGGCACUGCCCGGUAGCUAAAUGCGGAAGAGAUAAGUGCUGAAAGCAUCUAAGCACGAAACUUGCCCCGAGAUGAGUUCUCCCUGACCCUUUAAGGGUCCUGAAGGAACGUUGAAGACGACGACGUUGAUAGGCCGGGUGUGUAAGCGCAGCGAUGCGUUGAGCUAACCGGUACUAAUGAACCGUGAGGCUUAACCUU
This 2902-nucleotide ribosomal RNA is filed under the name Escherichia coli. Its description in RNAcentral is "bacterial LSU rRNA". It matches the Rfam family "Bacterial large subunit ribosomal RNA". Lineage: Bacteria; Pseudomonadati; Pseudomonadota; Gammaproteobacteria; Enterobacterales; Enterobacteriaceae. The record is from RNAcentral.